Long non-coding RNA from Xyrauchen texanus (razorback sucker), 469 nucleotides. RefSeq lists it as uncharacterized. The record is from RefSeq and is a predicted model, not a curated record. The transcript has 3 exons. Lineage: Eukaryota; Metazoa; Chordata; Actinopteri; Cypriniformes; Catostomidae.
GACAGCACACUGGAGGUUAAGUCAUGCACUAAAUAGGGAGCAAGGGAGCAUCCUAUAGCUCCCCUAUAACUGUUCUGAGACCAGUGCAGACAGACAGCACACUGGAGGUUAAGUCAUGCACUAAAUAGGGAGCAAGGGAGCAUCCUAUAGCUCUCCUAUAACUGUUCUGAGACCAGUGCAGACAGACAGCACACUGGAGGUUAAGUCAUGCACUAAAUAGGGAGCAAGGGAGCAUCCUAUAGCUCUCCUAUAACUGUUCUGAGACCAGCGCAGACAGACAGCACACUGGAGGUUAAGUCAUGCACUAAAUAGGGAGCAAGGGAGCAUCCUAUAGCUCUCCUAUAACUGUUCUGAGACCAGCGCAGACAGACAGCACACUGGAGGUUAAGUCAUGCACUAAAUAGGGAGCAAGGGAGCAUCCUAUAGCUCUCCUAUAACUGUUCUGAGAUCAGCGCAGACAGACAGCACA